UUUAUCAUUUGAGCGUCGACACUCAGACAUCGACACUGCAGCACGAAAUUACUAUGGUGCCGUCACUCGUAACAUCUCUUCCUCUGAUCUUGGUGAUCAUGACUGCGAGGGUUGAUGGUCAGCAGUAUCUGACAGUGAAUUAUGGUCCUUCAUAUGUUUGUGCAUUAAAGGGGUCAACAGUGAAUCUCUCUUGUACUGUAAAAUAUCCUCAUGAUCAUGAGCUCAAAACAGCUUUCUGGACCAAACCUGCUGUAAAUGAUGGAGAUCCACCGAACCUGUGUUUAGACCCAGAAAAGAGAGGAAGAGUUCAGUGUGAGAGUGAAGAUAAAGACACUCACAGUAUCACUUUGAUGAAUGUAACAGAAGCAGAUAAACACAUCUACUACUGCAGAUUCACUACAAACAGAGGAAGAUGGACAGGGAUUCCUG
Carassius auratus (goldfish) is the source of this 429-nucleotide long non-coding RNA. RefSeq lists it as uncharacterized. NCBI's taxonomy places the organism in Eukaryota, Metazoa, Chordata, Actinopteri, Cypriniformes, Cyprinidae. The record is from RefSeq and is a predicted model, not a curated record. The transcript has 3 exons.